GGUGGCUCAGUGGUAGAGUGCUUGCCUAGCAGGCAUGAAGUCCUGGGUUCGAUUCCUCAGCACCA
RNAcentral lists this transfer RNA (65 nucleotides) under Dipodomys ordii (Ord's kangaroo rat). It matches the Rfam family "tRNA". From Rfam's summary of the family: Transfer RNA (tRNA) molecules are approximately 80 nucleotides in length. Their secondary structure includes four short double-helical elements and three loops (D, anti-codon, and T loops). Further hydrogen bonds mediate the characteristic L-shaped molecular structure. tRNAs have two regions of fundamental functional importance: the anti-codon, which is responsible for specific mRNA codon recognition, and the 3' end, to which the tRNAs corresponding amino acid is attached (by aminoacyl-tRNA synthetases). tRNAs cope with the degeneracy of the genetic code in two manners: having more than one tRNA (with a specific anti-codon) for a particular amino acid; and 'wobble' base-pairing, i.e. permitting non-standard base-pairing at the 3rd anti-codon position. Lineage: Eukaryota; Metazoa; Chordata; Mammalia; Rodentia; Heteromyidae. The record is from Rfam by way of RNAcentral.